AGAGUUUGAUCCUGGCUCAGGACGAACGCUGGCGGCGUGCUUAACACAUGCAAGUCGAACGGAAAGGUCUCUUCGGAGACACUCGAGUGGCGAACGGGUGAGUAACACGUGGGUAAUCUGCCCUGCACUUCGGGAUAAGCCUGGGAAACUGGGUCUAAUACCGGAUAGGACCUCAAGACGCAUGUCUUUUGGUGCAAAGC
RNAcentral lists this ribosomal RNA (200 nucleotides) under uncultured bacterium. RNAcentral's name for it is "partial 16S ribosomal RNA". It matches the Rfam family "Bacterial small subunit ribosomal RNA", at positions 8 to 208 of the family's 1533-position model. The record is from RNAcentral.